UCCUUCCGCGGGCAUUUAAGGCAAGGCACGACGACAGUUGUGGUUCUUUCUCGUUAGGCUGUUGGAGGAGUAGUACGUCCGCACUGCCGGCUGCAGGAAUACUGUGAUUCUGUUUUCAACGCAGGUUCCUCUACCAGAAGAAGCCCGACCAGGAGGACAGUGACGAGGAUGAGUCUGUGCCAGUGGCAAAGGACUUGCUUCCGCUUCAGUCUGUAAGCUACUGACUCAGCCGGUUGGUAGCAGCACGCCCGCCGCCCAGCCGUCCCCGAAUUUCGCCUGGAUUUGCAGGUUCCGCCAUUUUCGGGAUACAGCAACCCCAAAUCCGCGGAAGACUUCCUCGCCGACUUGGAUGCUUUACAAACGGCCGUUGGAGUCUCCGUCGUCAUCCUGCAUCGAGUACUUCCCGCAGCUCUGUACUAGCGAAGCCGGCCCAAUCCACGUUUCUCGGACCUCAAGGAGUACGCAGAUCGUAUCUUGGAGCAUGACAAAAGGCAGGGAGACCCCGGGCACAAGUUCGUCACGAUCCCAAUCUUUCCCUCCACCACAUCGGAGUCUCAACCCGCUGAAGAUGGAACGGCCCAGGACUGGUUACCGCGGAGUCUCCUCGAUAUAACAAAGGCCACACGUACGUGACUCGGGAGGCCCUUCACCAACGUCGCCUUUGAGAAGUGCUUCGACAUCAGCAAGAGGCAGCAGAGGGAGCUCUGCGUGGUGCCACUCUCUCCUUCACCGCAAACACCUCGAGACUUGGCCGCAGCAGCGGACACCGUUCGCCGCCUCUCCCCUGGGCUACUAGCACGGCCAUCUCCACGUAGACAGCGAAGACUUCAUCCUCGACCUCCCUGAGGUUUAAGGGGGAUGUAUUGCAAUCAUCCGGGCGGUGAUAAGGAAAAGACUAUCUCAGUGCUCCGGCACGUUGAACUUUGGGAUACGCCCCCUGUUUUGUUUGUAUAUCCCUGACAGUUAUGGUUCUUUUUCGUUAGGCUGUUCUAGGAGCAGUACGUCCGCACUACCGGCAGCAGGCAUAUUGUCAAGCAAGUUAAUAAACUUGCUCUGUUAGUGGUUGACUGGCUUGUUCUUCGGGGUUGCCGGCAGGUCGGAACUAGAACCACCCGAGUUCUGUGGGCGGCCAAUUGCCACAAGGUGGUGUCGAUGGAAACACUCGACAAGCGCGGCUCAAGCCGGAACUGAGAGUAGUUGCUGUGUUCAAACUUCUGAUCAAAUUUUGACAAACUGUGCUCUAACAAGCUCACUUUAGCCAUUUGAGCAGUCAUUCCUUUGUUUCCUAGCGGUUUCAUUAAGUGUCCAAUAAAAUGUCGACGUCA
Long non-coding RNA from Ornithodoros turicata, 1325 nucleotides. RefSeq lists it as uncharacterized. The record is from RefSeq and is a predicted model, not a curated record. The transcript has 3 exons. NCBI's taxonomy places the organism in Eukaryota, Metazoa, Arthropoda, Arachnida, Ixodida, Argasidae.